Non-coding RNA from Podarcis lilfordi (Lilford's wall lizard), 74 nucleotides. The record is from the annotation of a GenBank genome assembly. NCBI's taxonomy places the organism in Eukaryota, Metazoa, Chordata, Lepidosauria, Squamata, Lacertidae.
GGCCUUAUAGCUCAGUUGGUUAGAGUGCAGUACUGAUAACACCAAGGCUGCAGGUUCGAUCCCUGCAUGGGACA